Molecule: ribosomal RNA, 253 nt
Filed under: uncultured bacterium
Lineage: Bacteria
Also listed under: 1 other name
Description: partial 16S ribosomal RNA
Rfam family: Bacterial small subunit ribosomal RNA
Source: RNAcentral
UACAGAGGGUGCGAGCGUUGUCCGGAAUCACUGGGCGUAAAGGGCGCGUAGGUGGCUUGAUAAGCGUGUGGUGAAAGCCUGGGGCUCAACCCCAGGUCUGCCGUGCGAACUGCCAAGCUUGAGCAUAGUAGAGGCAGGUGGAAUUUCGGGUGUAGCGGUGGAAUGCGUAGAUAUCCGAAAGAACACCGGUGGCGAAGGCGGCCUGCUGGGCUAUUGCUGACACUGAGGCGCGACAGCGUGGGGAGCAAACAGG